Molecule: ribosomal RNA, 497 nt
Filed under: uncultured bacterium
Lineage: Bacteria
Description: partial 16S ribosomal RNA
Rfam family: Bacterial small subunit ribosomal RNA
Source: RNAcentral
GGGGGGCGGGGGCGGCGUGCCUAGUACAGGCAGGUCGAGCGAACGGACGAGAAGCUUGCUUUUCUGAUGUUAGCGGCGGACGGGUGAGUAACACGUGGAUAACCUACCUAUAAGACUGGGAUAACUUCGGGAAACCGGUGCUAAUACCGGAUACUAUUUUGGACCGCCUGGUUCAAAAGUGAAAGACGGUCUUGCUGUCACGUAUAGAUGGAUCCGCGCUUCAUUAGCUAGUUGGUAAGGUAACGGCUUACCAAGGCAACGAUGCAUAGCCGACCUGAGAGGGGGAUCGGCCCCACUGGAACUGAGACACGGUCCAGACUCCUACGGGAGGCAGCAGUAGGGAAUCUUCCGCAAUGGGCGAAAGCCUGACGGAGCAACGCCGCGUGAGUGAUGAAGGUCUUCGGAUCGUAAAACUCUGUUAUUAGGGAAGAACAUAUGUGUAAGUAACUGUGCACAUCUUGACGGUACCUAAUCAGAAAGCCACGGCUAACUACGUG